GAUGAACGCUGGCGGCGUGCCUAACACAUGCAAGUCGAACGGAGAUUACGGACGGAAGUUUUCGGAUGGAAGCCUGUAAUUCUUAGUGGCGGACGGGUGAGUAACGCGUGGGCAACCUGCCCUAUACAGGGGGAUAGCAGCUGGAAACGGCUGGUAAGACCGCAUAAGUCGGUUAAAUCGCAUGAUUUGAUCGGGAAAUGAGCAAUCAGGUAUAGGAUGGGCCCGCGUCCGAUUAGCCAGUUGGCAGGGUAAAAGCCUACCAAAGCGACGAUCGGUAGCCGGACUGAGAGGUCGGACGGCCACAUUGGGACUGAGACACGGCCCAAACUCCUACGGGAAGCAGCAGUGGGGGAUAUUGCACAAUGGAGGAAACUCUGAUGCAGCGACGCCGCGUGAGUGACGAAGUAUUUCGGUAUGUAAAGCUCUAUCAGCAGGGAAGAUGAUGACGGUACCUGACUAAGAAGCCCCGGCUAACUACGUG
This 481-nucleotide ribosomal RNA is filed under the name uncultured bacterium. RNAcentral describes it as "partial 16S ribosomal RNA". It matches the Rfam family "Bacterial small subunit ribosomal RNA", at positions 28 to 507 of the family's 1533-position model. The record is from RNAcentral.